This 253-nucleotide ribosomal RNA is filed under the name uncultured bacterium. RNAcentral describes it as "partial 16S ribosomal RNA". It matches the Rfam family "Bacterial small subunit ribosomal RNA", at positions 524 to 776 of the family's 1533-position model. The record is from RNAcentral.
UACAGAGGGGGCAAGCGUUGUUCGGAAUUACUGGGCGUAAAGGGCGCGUAGGCGGCCUGUUAAGUCGAACGUGAAAUCCCCGGGCUCAACCCGGGAACUGCGUCCGAUACUGGCAGGCUUGAAUCCGGGAGAGGGAUGCGGAAUUCCAGGUGUAGCGGUGAAAUGCGUAGAUAUCUGGAGGAACACCGGUGGCGAAGGCGGCUACCUGGCCUAAUACUGACACUGAGGCACGAAAGCGUGGGGAGCAAACAGG